RNAcentral lists this ribosomal RNA (168 nucleotides) under uncultured bacterium. RNAcentral describes it as "partial 16S ribosomal RNA". It matches the Rfam family "Bacterial small subunit ribosomal RNA", at positions 338 to 498 of the family's 1533-position model. The record is from RNAcentral.
CCUACGGGAGGCAGCAGUGGGGAAUUUUGGACAAUGGGCGCAAGCCUGAUCCAGCAAUGCCGCGUGCAUGAAGAAGGCCUUCGGGUUGUAAACUUCUUUUGUACGGAACGAAACGGUCUUCUCUAAUACAGAGRGCUAAUGACGGUACCGUAAGAAUAAGCACCGCCU